Molecule: transfer RNA, 362 nt
Filed under: uncultured Microcystis sp.
Lineage: Bacteria; Bacillati; Cyanobacteriota; Cyanophyceae; Chroococcales; Microcystaceae
Description: partial 16S-23S ribosomal RNA intergenic spacer
Rfam family: tRNA (bases 135-208)
Source: RNAcentral
AAGGGAGACCUAAUUCAGGUAGGAGACGAAAAAAAAGUAGUCCCAACCAAGAAUCAAUCCCAAAAGGUCGGAGCGAGGCGAAAUUGGCUUUCAAACUAGGUUCUGGGUUCACACAAGACCUGAAUCAGGAACAAGGGCUAUUAGCUCAGGUGGUUAGAGCGCACCCCUGAUAAGGGUGAGGUCCCUGGUUCGAGUCCAGGAUGGCCCACCUGCACUGGUGGCAAAAACAAGAGAAGCGAGGAAUCAGCACCUUAUCUUAUCUAUAUAUAUAUAGGAGAGAAUGCUGGCUCUGAGUAAAGAGUCCAGAGGAACCUUGAAAACUGCAUAGAGCUAGGUGAAAAAGCCAAAAAAGAAGACCGCAA